AUUCCGGGACCACCCAUACGUAGAAUGUAUGCACACAUGACUGUAAGUCGCUUUGGAUAAAAGCGUCAGCUAAAUGGCAUAUAUUAUUAUUAUAUUAUAUUAUUAAACACUUAGCUAGCUAUCUAGUUAUAUGACAUAAAAGCUAAAAGGCUAUAACGUGACAUUAACUGUAAAGCUUUCAGUCACUAGUGGAAAUAUUUACAACUGCAAUUAAGUUACGUUAUCUUUUUAAUGUAUUUUACCUCAGACGAUCUGGAAGUAAGGCUUAUGCUAACUAGCUAGCUGGUUUUACCGGUAGUGAAGUUGUUAGCUAGCAAGUUAGCAUAAACUAGCUAACUGGGCUAGUCAUUGUCUAAAUGACAGGUCGAAACACAUUAAACCAUUAACUUUUUCUGGUGUUAUUGGAGACUUUUGUCGACUCUGACGUGAAAGCACGUCGGGGGUAAUUAGCCCCCAGGGGCCAGUUACCCCCAAGUAGGGCGAGUUGCCCCCAACACACUCAUCCAACAUAUUACUACUUUACUCAAAAACUAUCCAAAUGUUUCUCUCUAAACAAGUUACUAUUUAUCUUAAGACUGUAAAAAACAAUUAUAGAUCUAACUUCAUUGGAAUAUAUAUAUAAAAAAUAUUUACAUCUCAAAAAUUACAUCUCAAAAAUGUGAUAAAUUUACCACCAAAUCGUUUAGAUUAAAUAUCUCUAUAUCAAAAGUUCUAUGGAUCUGCGGAGAAAAAUGGGAGAAACUCCCCAAAUACAGGUGUUGCAACCUUGUAGCAUCACACCCAAGAAGACAAGGCUGUAAUAACUGCUAAAUGUUCUUCAACAAAGUCCGGAGUAAAGGGUCUGAAUAAUUUAAAAAAUGUGAUAUUUCACUUUAUUAAAUUUGCAAAAACGGUGUCAUAAAAUCUAGCGGUCAAAAGGGAAAUGGUUCCAAUCAUUUUUCAUUUUAAAAUAAGGGCUAUGUUUUGUGUAUGGUUACACUGGCGUGACGAUUUGAUAACCAUGUACAUUUUUCUCGGACAAGGUGACUUUUAUCAAUAUACUCGGCUUUAUUUCAUCUCACGUUAUAAAACACUAAUUAGCAUCAAACAUUUAUGUACAAACAACAAAUCCCUGCAAGCUCCUGCACAUCAUCUCUAGCUGACACCUUUGCUAAUAGGUAUUGUGUCAAUUUAAAACUUGCACAAGACAGUUAACAGAAUUGUCCAUUUAAAUAAAUGUAGUCUACUUAUUCAUUACUACAUUUAGCUAACAUUAUAUAGUUAAUUCUGAGAUCCUGACCUUUGACUGGAUUCGGCAGUCUUGUCCAGAUCGUCAUGGUAUUUGUAGUUCUUUAGGAUAGCCACAUUAGCAGCUAAUUCGCAUUUUAUUUUGGGGGGGUAAAUACAGGCGAAUAUAUUGAUCAGUCACCUUGUUCUAGAGAGAUUUACACGGUUAUAAAACCGUUACAUAUAAGAUACCUCGUAAGAAAAAGAAAAAUAGCACACUAAAGAGGAAUGGGACAACAUUCCACAGGCCAUAAUCAACAGCUUGAUCAACUCUAUGUAAAGGAGAAGGGUCCGGGAGGAGGAGGCAGCGGCAGCUACCCCUUUCUCAUGUAAUGGGGUAGGGUCAUGCCAAGGAUCCUGGAAUGCAGUACUGUUGCACUGUGUUAGUGGGGGAACAGGAAGUUCCGGGCGUGCACCAGUCUUCGGUUUAAAGAAAGCGCCAGAACUGUGCAGUCAAGAAGAUAACCUUUGUGUCCGUUUCAAUUUAUCACUACAGGUCUGAGGCCGGAAACAUCAACAGUGAGGACAAACCCAGCCUGCCUUUCUACUUCCACACUGAAUCCAAACCUACAGUCACUGGGUCCUGAUUGUGUCAGUAGAGCCCAGUUUUUACAGCAGGAUCCAGAGAUGACAUCAGUGAAGCUGGAAGACUGCAGUCAAACACUGGAGCUGAAUGUCAUCAUUAAAGAUGAAGAAGAGGAGGAGAAGAUUGGGAAAUCUGUUUCUCAUGGAGACAAUGUUGAGACAUUCUCUACAUCCAGAGAGCAACAGCAGCAGGAAGAUCACAGAGCUAAGAGGUCUCACCACUGCCCACAUUGUGAGGAGCUUUUCCCAAUUCUAUCAAAGCUAAAAAUACACGUGAAAAUACACACAGGAAAUAAUCUGUAUCCCUGCUCUGACUGUGGGAAGAGAUUCACAACAGCAGGGUCUCUGACAGUUCAUCGGAGAUUGCACACUGGAGAGAAGCCGUACUCCUGCUCUGACUGUGUAAAAUGCUUCACAACAUCUACACAUCUAGAAGUUCAUCAGAGAACACACACAGGAGAGAAGCCUUACUCCUGCUUUGACUGUGGGGUGAGGUUCUCCCAACGGUGCACCUUAAAACAACAUGAACGUAUACACACGGGAGAGAAGCCUUACUCCUGCUCUGACUGUGGAAAGAGUUUCUCUCUACUGUGCAACUUAAAAACACAUAAACGUAGACAUACAGGACUGAAGCCAUUCCCCUGCUCUGAAUGUGUAAAAUGCUUCACGACAUCAACUGAGCUAAAAGUACACCAGAGAACACACACAGGAGAGAAGCCUUACUCCUGCUUUGACUGUGGGGUGAGGUUCUCCCAACGGUGCACCUUAAAACAACAUGAACGUAUACACACGGGAGAGAAGCCUUACUGCUGCUCUGACUGUGGAAGGAUUUUCUCUCAACCGGGCCCCUUAAAAAGACAUGAACGUAUGCAUACAGGAGUGUAGACAUAAUCCAGCUCUGACUGAUUACAAUGCUUCACAACAUCAGGUCAGCUAGAAGUUCAUCAGAGAACAGACACAGGAGAGAAUCCUUACUUCUGCUCUUAAUGUGGCAAGAGUAACUCAAGUGAAAGUCACCAAGUAGAAUACUACUUGAGUAAAAGUUUUUGCUUGUAAAUAUACUUAAGUAUUAAAUCUAAAAGUAUGAAUCAUUUCAAUUUUCUUAAAUUAACCUCUACGGGUUGGGUGUCCCUAAAACUGUGACUAUAAUGACGUUGUAAACAACAGAUUUUCGAGGACAUAGACAUGUCUUUUAUAUGGGCAGAAAGCUUAAAUUCUUGUUAAUCUGCAUUGUCCAAUUAACAGUAGCUAUUAGUGAAAAAAAUAGCAGGCUAUUGUUUGAGGAGAGGUUGAUACAAUCACCCCUGAAGGUAAAUAGUAUACUUACAUUCAGUAAUGUUGCUCUGAUUUGUCAUCUAGAGGGUCCUAGAGAUAAAAUGUAGCAUAGUUUAGUUUGAUAAAAUUAGUUUAUGUUCAAAUGUAGGUACCGGGUUCUACAUUUUGAACCCCUGCUGUCUCUUUGCGUCAGGCGCUGAGCUACAGGCAGCUAGAUUUGGGUAUGUCAUUUUAGGUGAAAAUGUAAAAAAAAAAAAAAAAAUUUUAAGGUAAGAUCCUUAAAAGGUUUUUAGGUGAACCAAAUAACACAAUUGUUUUUUAAAUUACGGCUAGCCAGGGGCACACUCCAACACUAUUUACAAAUGGACCAUUAAUGUUUAGUGAGUGCGCCAGAUAAGAGGCAGUAGGGAUGACCAGGGAUGUUAUCUUGAUGAGUGUGGGAAUUGGACCAUUUUCUGUCCUGGUAAUCAUAAAAUGUAACUAGUAUUUUUGGGUGUCUGGGAAAAUAUAUGGAGGAAAAAGUACAUUUUAUUUAGGAAUUUAGUUAAAUAAAAGUAAACAUUGGCAAAAAAUAUAAAUGGUAAAGUACAGAUACCCCAAAAACACCAUGCCGUGUGUCAGCAUUGCAGGGUGGUGGUGUGAAGGCGUGUGGGGUGUGUUUUGAGGGCACACAUUGUUCAACUUUUAUCAAGGGGCCCAAUGUUUGAAUACCACAGGAUAUCUAAACAUCAUUGCCAAUCAAAUUGAAUUUGUCACAUACACAUGGUUAGCAGAUGUUAAUGCGAGUGUAGCGAAAUGCUUGUGCUUCUAGUUCCGACAAUGCAGUAAUAACCAACAAGUAGUCUAACCUAACAAUUUCACAACAACUACCUCAUACACAAGUGUAAAGGGAUGAAGAAUAUGUACGUAAAAAUAUAUGAAUGAGUGAUGAUACAGAACGACAUAGGCGAGAUGCAGUAGAUGGUAUAGAGUACAGUAUAUACAUACAGUGUAGUGGGGAGAACAAGUAUUUGAUACACUACCGAUUUUGCAGAUUUUCCUACUUCCAAAUAAUGAGAGGUCUGUCAUUUUUAUCAUGGGUACACUUCAACUGUGAGAGAUGGAAUCUAAAACAAAAAUCCAGAAAAUCGCAUUGUAUUAUUUUUAAGUAAUUAAUUUGCAUUUUAUUGCAUGACAUAAGUAUUUGAUACAUCAGAAAAGCAGAACUUAAUGUUUGUUAUAGAAACCUUUGUUUGCAAUUGCAGAGAUCAUACGUGUCCUGUAGUUCUUGACCAGGUUUGCACACACUGCAGCAGGGAUUUUGGCCCACUCCUCCAUACAGACCUUCUCCAGAUCCUUCAGGUUUCUGGGCUGUCGCUGGGCAAUAUGGACUUUCAGCUCCCUCCAAAGAUUUUCUAUUGGGUUCAGGUCUGGACUGGCUAGGCCACUCCAGGACCUUGAGAUGCUUCUUACGGAGCCACUCCUUCGUUGCCCUGGCUGUGUGUUUCGGGUCGUUGUCAUGCUGGAAGGCCCAGCCAUGACCAUUCUUCAAUGCUCUUACUGAGGGAAGGAGGUUGUUGGCCAAGAUCUCGCGAUACACGGCCCCAUCCAUCCUCCCCUCAAUACGGUGCAGUCGUCCUGUCCCCUUUGCAGAAAAGCAUCCCCGAAGAAUGAUGUUUCCACCUCCAUGCUUCACGGUUAGGAUGGUGUUCUUGGGGUUGUACUCAUCCUUCUUCCUCCAAACACGGCAAGUGGAGUUUAGACCACAUGACCUUCUCCCAUUCCUCCUCUGGAUCAUCCAGAUGGUCAUUGGCAAACUUUAGACAGGCCUGGACAUGCACUGGCUUGAGCAGGGGGACCUUGCGUGCGCUGCAGGAUUUUAAUCCAUGACGGUGUAGUGUGUUACUAAUGGUUUUCUUUGAGACUGUGGUCCCAGCUCUCUUCAGGUCAUUGUAGUUCUGGGCUGAUCCCUCACCUUCCUCAUGAUCAUUGAUGCCCCAUGAGGUGAGAUCUUGCAUGGAGCCCCAGACCGAGGGUGAUUGACCAUCAUCUUGAACUUCUUCCAUUUUCUAAUAUUUGCGCCAACAGUUGUUGCCUUCUCACCAAGCUGUUGCCUAUUGUCUUGUAGCCCAUCCUAGCCUUGUGCAUGUCUACAAUUUCAUCCCUGAUGUCCUUACACAGCUCUCUGGUCUUGGCCAUUGUGGAGAGGUUGGAGUCUGUUUUGAUUGAGUGUGUGGACAGGUGUCUUUUAUACAUGUAACGAGUUCAAACAGGUGCAGUUAAUACAGGUAAUGAGUGGAGAACAGGAGAGCUUCUUAAAGAAACUAACAGGUCUGUGAGAGCCGGAAUUCUUACUGGUUGGUAGGUGAUCAAAUACUUAUGUCAUGCAAUAAAAUGCUAAUUAAUUACUUAAAAAUCAUACAAUGUGAUUUUCUGGAUUUUUGUUUUAGAUUCCGUCUCUCACAGUUGAAGUGUACAUAUGAUAAAAAAUACAGAUCUCUACAUGCAUUCUAAGUAGGAAACACUGCUGAUUUUGCAGGUUAUCAAAUACUUGUUCUCCCCACUGUAUGUCUGUUCCAUUUUUGGCGGGUCAAUUAAGGAAGACAUCCUCUUCUGGAAACCAGAACAACAGGAUAUCUUUAAAAAAGUACUGGACAGUUUUGUGACAUCAAAUGGACUUAGGUGGUCAAGAUGUGUUGGUAUCUGUACUGAUGGCGCGAAAGCCAUGACAGGGAGACAUAGUGGAGUGGUAACGUGCGUGCAACCUGUUGCUCCCGACACUACUACAGUGAAAAUUGGGACCUUUUGUUAACAUGAACAACACAUGUGGGAGAAAGAUGUACAUAUAGGGAGGAACAUAAUACUGUAACACAAGAGAAAGAUACACUUAGAGUGCAUUUGCCAUUCUGGUAAAAUGCAUUGUCUAUUGUAUAGGACAGGAGGCCAAAGCAUAAGCCUAUAGAAUAGAGGAAUGUAUAGUAUUUUUAGUACAGCCGGACACACUAAAAACAGAAGAGACAGUCUGCUGAUCCUAGAUAAGAACACGCAUACAAAAGAAUGCAUUAAGCUAAGUGCAGGGACAAAGCAAGCCUAUAGAAUAGAGUAAUGUAUAUUAUUUUUAGGACAAAGCAAGGUUCUUGCCACCAUUAUAAUCUGACGAAAAGCAGAUAUGGGCGUUAUUGGGCGUGAACAAGCAGGAAGCCUGAACUAAAAAGAUAAUGGUAGGCAGAAGAAUUAGGGGAAGUAUGUUUAUCUGCAUAUGGGUUGGACAGGAGCCGGGGCUCUGGGAAGCGGUGUGUGUUCCGCGGACCAUUCCGGCUUGUUAUACUUUGUAUUAAAAGCCUAUUUGAUUUCACAAGUUCUUGCAAGUGUCAUAUUUGAACCGAUUUUCCACGACACACACAGGUCUUUUCAUCAUUGUAUGAUUUUUUUUGUGUGCAAAUGAACUCAAGCUUACGGAAAAUGUUGAAUGUGAUCUAGCGAAGCACCUGAUUUAGUUUGGUGUGCAAAUACGCAGGUACUUUCCUGAAACGGAUGACACAAACUAAAUUUGUUAUCCCUUUCAUGCCCUGCCUCCAGUCCACUUACCGAUAUCUGAACAAGAGAGCCUCAUCAAAAUUGCAACAUGCGGUUCUGUGAAAAUGUAAUUUAAUCAGAACCUACUGCCAGAUUUCUGGAUUGGGCUGUGCUCAGAGGAGCCUGCCUUGGCAAAUUGCGCUGUUAAGACACUGAUGCCCUUUGGAACCACAUACCUAUGUGAGAGUGGAUUCUCGGCCCUCAAUAGCAUGAAAACUAAAUACAGGCACAGACUGUGUGUGGAAAAGGAUUUAAGACAGAGACUCUCUCCAAUAAAACCCAACAUUGCAGAGUUAUGCGAAUCCUUUCAAGCAAACCCUUCUCAUUAACCUGUGGUGAGUUUUUCACAAUUUUCAAUGAGCAAGUAAGGUUUUAUAUGUAAAAUUGCUAAAUAAAGAGACAAAUUGAU
Oncorhynchus keta (chum salmon) is the source of this 7090-nucleotide RNA transcript. It is a transcript of the gene named zinc finger protein 239-like, with no coding region annotated. The record is from RefSeq and is a predicted model, not a curated record. NCBI's taxonomy places the organism in Eukaryota, Metazoa, Chordata, Actinopteri, Salmoniformes, Salmonidae. The transcript has 3 exons.